UACGGAUGCUGGACUCUAGAACUUUGGC
RNAcentral lists this non-coding RNA (28 nucleotides) under Cricetulus griseus (Chinese hamster). The record is from RNAcentral. Lineage: Eukaryota; Metazoa; Chordata; Mammalia; Rodentia; Cricetidae.